UCAUGAAUACCUCACCCCCUCGGGUUUCCGAUUGGGUGGAUUUGGGUGUUGCCUUUCGCAGGCUCGCCUUAAAAGCAUCAGUGGCUUGAAGACGUGAUACGUUUCGUCGUGAAGGCUGCUUCUAAUCUCCCGCAAGGGAUACUCCUAGAGUAAUUCAUGUCUACGACCUCAAAUCAGGUAGGGCUACCCGCUGAACUUAA
RNAcentral lists this unclassified non-coding RNA (200 nucleotides) under soil metagenome. RNAcentral's name for it is "partial contains internal transcribed spacer 2 and large subunit ribosomal RNA". The record is from RNAcentral.